Molecule: long non-coding RNA, 764 nt
Filed under: Homo sapiens (human)
Lineage: Eukaryota; Metazoa; Chordata; Mammalia; Primates; Hominidae
Description: HSALNT0299066
Source: RNAcentral
GACUGGAGCUAGAAGGGGGCAGGGAAAUGGGACGAUGACCAGAUGUGGCCCAUGGCAAGGCCGUGCAUUGUGAAGGGAGGAGGAGGGUCUGAGAUCCGGGAGCCCUGCAGAGAGUUUGCUGAAGAGUGAAGAAAGGACGGCGUUAGUAAUGGGAUGAGGGAUACUGGAGUCCGAAUUAACAUAGCACACAGAGAGAUAUUCAGGAAAAUACAUCAUAUCUUGCACUUGGGUGGAAAAGAGCAGAAAUCCUUGGUUAACAGGAUUAUACGCAAUGGUGCAGAAAGCAUUCUCUAAAGAAAAAUCAGAGAGGAAGAAACACUGCAUGGAGAAUCCAAGAAACACUCUAAGAAUUGAAGUUAAAAUGUCGGAGGAGGCCUCGUAUGUCUUCUUCUAGGAGGACUCUCAGCUGAUGUUGGUUUUUUUAGUCUGUAUGAGCGAUGGACAAGCUGUCACUACCCAUUAGAUUUUGGGUGGUCCCAGGGGACCAUCCCAAGUUUGAGGAAAGUUGGCAAUGGAAAAAGGAGCAUCUGAUAGGAGCAGUCAGUGAAGUCCUUGGGUGGCCUCCCUCACCUUGACAGUGUGAAUUAACAGCUUAUCUUCAUGGACAUGGGACAAGAGGAGACUGGAAAUCAUCUCCCACACCACCCUCUCCAAGACAAAUUCAUAUUUAACUUCUACUUCUGCUCUGUUGACUUUAUCCUAUGUAAAGUACAGAUUUACUGAGCACGAGACAAAUGCAUAACUGACUAUUUCUUUACCCUCUC